UGUGGAGCUGACAUGUGAUCCAAGGAAGACAGGAUGCAUUCUGCCAACGUCCUCCAUAAGACAAGUCUUAUAAAAUAUAAAGAUUAGCAGUUAUGGUUGAUAAUUAAGACUGGGUUAGCAUAUAAGAAAUCCUAGUCAUUGGCCAGCAGCAUUAAUCUCUGUGUGUUAUUUUGGGCAACAGGGCUCGGGCAGCUGGCAGAAAGAUUUUAUUGUUAUAUUAGACCCUCAAAGCCAGUCCCUCAUUGGUAGAAAUGUAGGUCACUCCAUUAUCAGACUUCAGAAUAGAAAGUAAAUUCAAUGGUAAGCCAGAAAAGUCACCCAAAAACUAUUCAGAAUCCAUCAUUGAUACCAAUUACUUAUAUCUAUUUAUUAGUAUUUAACAGACAUUAAGUUUUAUAAUUCAUCUAGACCUGUUAAACUAAAUAUGCUUCAUUCAUAUGUGUUCAAUGUACUGAACAUCACAGGAAGUAAAAGCCAGAUAACAAAAACAGAUGCACCUACUCAGACAGAGACAUUGGUCAUCUGCAUAUUAUAAUAAUUUAGGCUCACAGGGACAAAGGUCACUUCAUGCUAAGAUAUAUUUCCUUAUUUUACUAUGAAAAAAUAGCUAUUUAAAAACCCAUGUAUAUAAGUUUGUUUAAUUAUUAUGUUGCUUAUGCUUGUGUUCAUGUAUCCAUGCAUAUAUGUGUAUACAUGCAUGUGAAGGCCUGAGGUAGACAUCAAGUAUCUUCUUCAAGUGUUCUCCACCUUAUGUUUCAAGACGCAGUCUUAGAAUGAGCCUCAAGCUCACAAUUUGGCAUGGAUGGCUGUGCAUCUGGCCUCAGCCUGAGAUUACAGGAACAUUCUAUAACACUCAGCUUCCUAAGUGCAUGCUAGGGAUCCAAGCUCAGGUCCUCAUGCUUAUACAUGGAGCAAUUUAACAGCAGAGCCUUCCCUACAGUUCAGAAGUUCUUACAAGCAUGAGGGAAGGUGCCUUCAUACCAAUGAGCCCCAUUAGGGUGUCCCCACAGUGGAAAGACUCUGGGGUUCUGUAAAUGAGAAUUCAGUUUAGUUUUUGGAUUUUGGACUUUUUUGUCUCCCCUUUCUCCCUCCCUCCCUCCCUCCCUUCCUUCUUUAAGACCAUGCUCAAACAUAGUUAAAAGCAAACAUGGCUAAGUGUCACAAGUUGAAAAGACUUUUACAAAUGCCUAAAACUGUAAUGUGCAAUUUGCCGAUGAAAAUCAUGUAGCAGAGAAAAUGCAUAACAAAAACAGAUAGAUGCCUCACCUUAAGGGAAAAGGACACAUUCAGUCCCCAAAGCAUUCACUCAGGUAUUUCUAGCAACUAAAGCCCCACAAACUUUUCAUAAAAUAUAUUAACAAGUUCAAUUUAAUUCUGCCUCCUUCUCUUAGUCCCACCCACACUGGACUAACUCUACUCAAGUUCUCUUCUUCUCUCCUAGAAUGUCCAGGACCUCGGAACUUCAGUUUCUAAGAGCUCUGUGUGAUGAUUCAGUGUUCAUUAGUGCAGUUCUCCUGCAUGCAAAGUCUUAUGAAAAAAUGCCUAUGGAGUCUCAAAGACGGUUUUGAUCAACAUGACCUUUUAAUCCAAAGACUGUUGACAUAACUUUCUGAUUGUUCCCUGUGUUCCUUCCCCAAUCAAUUCUUCAAAAUGCAGCCACUAGCUCUGUGCCUUCACUCCAACUAAUCUCUAUUCCAAGUGCAGUCUGUAGACCAGGAGCUUCUGGACCCUUGAGACUUGAUGGUGGUGCAUAUUCUGAGGACCAGUUCCAGCAGGCCUUUAUCAGAAAUGGCUUAUACAAGAUCUCCCAUGAUUUUGUGUGGAGAUUGAAAUCAACAGUCAUGCCCCUCAAUAACCUACCCUGUAGAUUUCUCAGGACAUUGGCCAUUUGCAAUGGCUAUAUUUAAAAUUUCUGUACUUAUUUAUUAAUUGUGAUUUUACAAAUGGUGAUAGGUAGUGUGGUGGUUUGAAUGAUAAUGGCCCCAUAGGCACAUAUGUUUGAAAUAUUAGUUUCUGUUGGGUGGAACUGUUUGGGAAAGUUAGGAGGUAUGGCCUUGUUGGAGGAGGUGUCACCAUGGUCAGGCACUGAGGUUUCCAAAGAUUGGUGUCAUUCCCAGUGUGCCUCUGGUUUUAGAUGUGAGUUCUCAGCUGUUCCUGCCAUCCUGCUUUUGCUCUACUAUCAUAGACUCUAACUCUCUAAAACUGGAACCCCAAUUAAACACUUUCUUUUGUUCAUUACUUUGAUCAUGGUGUUUUAUCACAGCAAUAGAAAAGUAAGUAACUAAGAAAAGGAACAAAAAAUACUACAAAGAUAAAUGAAUUAAUAAUUUCCCCACUGUUCUAUAUCUGUGUCCCGUUAAUUCCCAUGCAAAUUAUUUCCCUUCUACAGCUGCUCAGACCUCCACUUAGUGCCAAGUUCAGAUUUUAAACAUGCCCAUUGGAUACUUGCAGCUACAUAGAACCAUACCAAUUAAAAAAACAACUAUAGCUAAUUAUCUUCUGCCUUUACAAUACCUUUGCUAUCCUACUAUAAGUGAUAAAAUUGAUUGUACCCAUUAAAGAUAUUUCCAGGUGAGUUUACUAAUCACACUCAUCUGAUAAAUUCAAUUCUAAAAGCAUAUUAGAUUGGUCCCCAAAGCAUCCAACUCUUUGAAAUGAGAUACCACUACCCCCAAUCUGUACAGUGUCCUAUCUCAGCCUACUAUUUUUGCAGUAGCAUUUUGUUAUUGUACUUUAUUUUUUGUGGUGUGUAUGUAUGUACAUGUGUAUAUAUGUAUAUAUAUAUAUACAUAUAUAUAUAUAUAUAUAUAUAUAUAUAUCACAUACACACACAUAAGCACACACACAUACAACUUGUGUACGUGUGUGUGUGUGUGUGUGUGUGUGUGUGUGUGUGUGUGUGUGUGAGUUUGCAAGUAUACAAAGGCCAGAGAUGAACAGGUGUCUUCCUCUAUCUCUGUGCCUUACCCUUGAGACAGGGUCUCUCACAAAACCAGAAGCUCCUCAUUUUGACUAUACUGGCUGGCCAUCAAGCUCCCAGGAUUUACCUGUCUCUGCUUACUAAAGCUGGGGUUACAGGCAAGUGUAGCUUUGCCAAGGUAUUUGCUGGCUAUUAGGCAGUCAAACUCAGGUCCUCAUGCUUUCAAAGUAAGCAUACUUAUCCACUGAGCCAUCUCCCUAGCCCCAGAAAAUAUAUUUUAAUGUCCAUGUUUUUGACUGGGUGAGACCCUUAUAUUGGUAGCCUAAUAUGUAGAUUUAGCAAUAAACUAAAAAGUCAAAGACCUCUAAAUUCUAAUGAAUGUUACUGGGAACUCCAAUUUUCCAGAUUAUUUUGGAAGCAAUAAUUGGAGCUUAGGCCUUAAUUACAACAAAAUAUAUGAAUAAAUAUUUUUGCUACUUUACAGCCAUGCGAGCAUAUUCAUAUCCCUAGGUGGAUGUUUUGUUUACAUUAAUAUUAUUGCUACUUGUGUUUAAUUCCCAGAGACUGGGAAACCAGAUAUAUUUUACAGCUGGGAAGAUACUCAAUCGGAUUGAACAUUAGCCCACUCAGCACACUAGGUGCUUGCUCUUGAAUUUCAAAGGAGUUAAAAUUAUGCUUGAAAUGAAAGCUGAAUGCUACAUUAUCUCUUUUAUUCUGGUUUCAAAACAUAUAGGAAACAGGCUAGUGAAAGAGAAUGGUGAGCCAGACUGAUUUGGGGUUCAAGGAUAAGAAAAGCAUUGUCCCUGCCCACAGCACAAGCCAGGUGUGAAAAUGUUUGGUUAGUUACAUUAGAAAAAUUAAACAUUUUUAUUUUAUCAUUGUUUUAAAAAGAAACAGAUGCUCACAUUAGCAUUUUCUCUAAGAUGUUGUGAUAUUAUGGUGGAGCGUGCACACAUUUUAAAAGCACAUUUCAAAUGUCUUCCUUUCCCUAAGAUGACUCAGUCAUUGAUAAGUGGAACAUUAAUCAGAUGAGAUGCCACAAAAAUGUUGCCUGGUUCCUGGCUUGCUGAUGGAGAGACUGACUGGACUCCCACCAUGCCUCCACACAGGGAAUCUGUCUCCUUGACUCCUAGAAGUCACCAGCUCCCUGGUCUUCUGCCUUUCUUGAUGCGGCUUCUCACACAAUAUCUCACUGAAGAAAUUCAUUAGCCUAACAGAACUAUAAUGGCAACUCUGUGAAGUGUUAGCAGUUGACACUGGAUCAUGGCAAGAAUGGUGGGAAGAAGAUGAGUGCCAGUUACAGUCAUCUGUGGGGCUCAGCCCCCAGUCCAUCCUCUUCCCUCAUCCACAGGAAAGGAGAUUCAUCCAAGUGCUGAAGAGGCUGCUACCAGAAAUCAUGUCUGAAUAUGGAAGAUCUGAGCAGUGCUGGGGAAGAAGACGGUCCUGGUACCUCCAUUUAAGAUCUUAAUGCACACAUAUCCUCCCAGUAAAACAUCCGGCUUCUGAGCUUUUUCUUUUUUGCCAUCACUCUAUGAUCCGGAGAACAAACAGGAUAUACUGAAGAUAUCUGUUGGAGUAAUUGUUGAGCUGCUACAUAGAUGUGAAAGCCAAAUGUCAACUGAGCAAGUUUGUGUUUGUCUUCACUCUUCAAGAACAGUCUAAGCUGAGAAGAGCCACCGGUCCAAGCUCAUGAUCAUCAGCGCUGACAACACCAAUAUGCUCUAUACCAUAAUAUAGCUGUCCAAUCCCUUCACCCAACUCAGAAUACCUCCAAAGGGUAAUGUCAGCAAGGCCAGCUAAUCUCUUGUCAUUAUGGCAUCACAGUCCAACUUCCCCACCCUACAUCACCUGUGUGUAUUAUGUAAUACCCAAUAAACUUAUAAGUGGC
This 4808-nucleotide long non-coding RNA is filed under the name Cricetulus griseus (Chinese hamster). Its description in RNAcentral is "lncRNA (ENSCGRG00015035016.1)". The record is from RNAcentral. Lineage: Eukaryota; Metazoa; Chordata; Mammalia; Rodentia; Cricetidae.